CUCGUCCGGCUGGCUGAUGUGCUCUAUAGCGUCCACAAUGCAGAGAAAAGGUUGGGUUCAUGCAGAGCAGACAUUAUUGUUUUAGUUAGUGUGCUGAGGGAGUAGCAGCUGAGUGAAACUGAGCACUCAGUGUCAUGCUUUAUAUUGGUUAAAGUAGAAAUGGGAGACUGUUUCCAUUUGCAACUCAUGUAUGUUCAAUAUGCUGACAAUCCUUGACAUGCAUUAAAAAAUAAAUAUAAAUAAAUAUAUAAUAAAUAAUCCAGCAUAUUGCUAAAUCCAACAAUAAUAUUCUUAACAAUUUACAGUAGUCAGCAAUGAAAAUAAUUACCUUGAAGGAGUGUUCAAGUUUGCCCCUAUCUCUGAAUUGUGCAUUAAAAUGACGAACUGUCCUUUCAGUAACUGGUUGGUCAACAAAUAAUAUUAAAAUAAUCCUAAAAUUGAUUUAUAAAAACCAUGGCUGGGAUUGACUCAGUGACAUUUCUAAAUCAUCUGGCAGCACUGUUUAUAUGUGAAACAAGCAAAGAAGGACAUAUGAGUGUAGAGAAGAGGCAGCACCUGUUGUUGGUCUUACAUGAUUACAGCGAGCUUGAUGCUCAGUUUGGUGAGAAAACCCACUUCUGGACACUUAGCAAACUGCUUGUUAUGGGUCAAAUUGACCUGUUUCAAAGUUCAAACGUUUUUUAAAAAUACGGUUUCCCAUUUGUCUGUGUCACCCUGUACAAGAAUGCAGGUGUUAUUAUUAUUAGAUGUUAUUAUUAACAUCUGACGGUAUCAACAUUGCCUGUGAAAAUUUGUUGAUAAGCCACAAUGUAAGCCACAGUCAGGAGCUCCUAAAAGGGAAGCUCAUGAUUGUCUGACGGGUCCAAAAAAACAAGGCUAACUCACUGUUGAGCUGAAAACAAGGCCCCUCUGUCCUCCAGGUUUGCCUUCACAGACAGAACAGCCCCAGUGUCUUACUGCCCCAAAAGGGAAAAAUACUGGAAUCAUGAGCACAAAAUCGCUGAAAGCAGCACAGUGGUACCAGAAACCAAAUAUGACUAUGAUUAAAAUAGAUCGUAGACAACCUGCACUAAGUCACAGGUUCCUGCAGCAUCACGCGUUGGCCUCUGGUUGUUCAAAAUUAUGAUACAUCAGUCUACAACUCAUUUAUUGUUUGGAUGGAGAUGUAAUGUAGCAGACAGUAACAGUAACAGACUGGACAAAGUGAUCAGGAGGGCUGAUUCUGUUUUGGGGGUGGAGCUGGACCCCCUACAUGAGGAGGAGGAUGCUGGUCGUACUCCUCUCUAUCCUAGACAACACCUCCCACCCCCUACACAGUGUGCUGUCUGGACAGAGGAGCACCUUCAGCCAGAGGCUGAUCAGUAUUAGGUGCUUCAUAGAACGCCACCGGAGAUCCUUACUACCAGUGCCAUCAGUCUGUACAACUCCUCCUCCCUCUGUAAGGGUUGAUCUUUAUCCGGGCAGUAACAAGUACAAUAUAUGUUUAGCUAGUAAUUAGAUGUAAUUAGACAAUAGUAAUUUGACUUGAUGUGAGUGUGUGUGGAUGUGUUAGCAUUCUUAUUUUUAAUCUCCUUUCCUUUUUGUGUGUACCUCCAUCUGUGACAGCGAUCAAAUUGUGCAAAAUAAUUUCCCUUUUCACUUUUUUGAAUCUUGAAUCUUGAAAGUUUUCUGUAAAAGAGAAGUAUCUUCCAUGAGUAGCUGGGAGAGCCACUAGUGAUGCCACAUUUAUAAAGUAGCAGCACAAGACAGCUACUGUACAGGGAGGGAUCCAGGACAGUACUUCAGGUUGUUGUUGGGUUAAAAGAAAUCAGGAAGAGGAGCCACGUCUGCAAGUUGUGUGUUUAGGCCCAGAUAAGCAUAGCCUGUGUAAAAUGUGCAAAAUUACACAUAAACAAGUGUUCAUGUUGUUCAUAUUAUAUUUUUAUUUCAUUAUUUUGUUCAUUUCUGGUUUUAAAACACUGCUUAAGUAAAGGGUACUUUUAUUUUCCUUGAUUUUAGGUCACAGGGUCAAUUUGACCCUGAACAAAACCAGGGUUGUGUGAUGUUUAUCAACAUCACACAAUGAAAAAAAGUUGUAAAGAAAUCAUAAAAGUGUAAAACUAUUGUGUUUCAUAUAUACAGUAUGGUGAGUGACUGAACCUGAUUGAGAGGUGAAGACAAACAUUGCUCUAAAAUUGGGUGGAAUUUUUAGAGAACGUUAUACAAACCAUUUUGUAUCUUGGAUUUUUAGUGUUUUGACACUUUUGGGUAUCUAAGCAUACCCUGAGAUUGACAUGUGAACAUCAUAGCUGUUCAUGAGAAACAAACAUAACAGGAGGGACGACAGUGUCUUAGUGCCAUUUUCACUUCCAGCAACUGAUAUGGCAGCUCUUAUUCUGUCUGUCUCCUUCCACUUAUAGAAGCAGGUGCUAUGCAACUGCUCACACCCAUAAGUACAUAAACAUAAAUACUGUAUCAGUAAACAGUAUAUAUAAACUAUUCAACGUAUAUUCUCUGCAAGGCAUCAUUGAUGCAGUAGCAUCAGGUAAAGGUUUAGGUGAAUUAGUGGUAAUAGUCAUGAAUUACAGUCAGUUUAAUCAGAUUAUCACCAUGUACUGUACCUGCACCUUGUGGACAGACAGCGUAAUUCUAGCCUAGACAUGGUUGUUUUCUCUCAUCCAGCCAGAAUCUGUCUAUAACUGAAGCACUGGUAUGCCAGGAAUCCUUUGGGGGUUUGGUGCCGAGGGAGGUGCUGAUCAGUUCACUCAGCAGGCUUUGGGUUAUAAGUCUGGAUUCCUGUGUUGUUAAUGUGCCAAUACUGUAUGAGCCUGACCUUUAGCUUUGGCCUGUAUUUGAUUCAAUCAAAGCAUAAAAUGUAUUAUUUCUGUAAUUUAUUUGUUUACUGUAGCAUUAAAGAUCAAAACAAAGGGUCUCUAGGAGACAGCAGGAAACCUCCAGCAGAACCAGGCUCAGGGCGGGCAGCCAUCUGUCAUGAGCACUUAGGGUGAGGGGACAGAGAAAUGAGCAACAGGCCACAGAAGAAGAAGAAGAAGAAGAAGGCGAGAAACAGCUUAGAAUGUCAUGAUACAAGCACGACUACGAGAGAGAGAAGACACAACGUUAAGAAAGAAGACAACAUAAACUAUGUAGGAACACAUGGACAAAUCUGAACAAGAGUCAUUGUAUAUAGUGAUGGUGAUGUCAGUAAGGAGGGCCUGGAGUCUGAAAUAUAGUGAAAAGUAAUUACUGUAUCUGUCUCUCCUCACUCCUAACAGGAAAAUGUUUCAAUUCACAGCCUUGAUUCUUGUGACAUUCUGACUCCAGGAUUAAAUAGGAUUAUGCAU
Long non-coding RNA from Betta splendens (Siamese fighting fish), 3323 nucleotides. RefSeq lists it as uncharacterized. The transcript has 2 exons. The record is from RefSeq and is a predicted model, not a curated record. NCBI's taxonomy places the organism in Eukaryota, Metazoa, Chordata, Actinopteri, Anabantiformes, Osphronemidae.